AGAGUAUAAAUACAGAAGCGAAAACUUAUGCGACAUGGAAUUAAAUCAUACGUGGCCUAUACUCCGCUUUGGAUGGUUAAAGGCAAGAAGAAGAAGAAA
Molecule: long non-coding RNA, 99 nt
Organism: Octopus sinensis (East Asian common octopus)
Lineage: Eukaryota; Metazoa; Mollusca; Cephalopoda; Octopoda; Octopodidae
Exons: 3
Source: RefSeq, a predicted model, not a curated record